Molecule: long non-coding RNA, 1985 nt
Filed under: Theobroma cacao (cacao)
Lineage: Eukaryota; Viridiplantae; Streptophyta; Magnoliopsida; Malvales; Malvaceae
Description: long non-coding RNA (TCAC_LNC005927)
Source: RNAcentral
AAUUUUCUCUCUAUAGCUCUAGUUUUCAUACCUUUGAAACAUUUUGAUUAGAACUCAAGUAUUCUUUCACUCUCUCAUUUCAAAACCCUUGAUAAAGCUUAUUUCCAGACUUUCUCUCACUAGUUGGGCAUUCUAGAGAGAGAAAGAGAGAAUUACCCUAUUGAUUUGGAAGCUAUUGGAAGAGAAUUCAACUACAAAGAAACCCAAGGGUGAGUGAUGAACUAAAUUCAGUUUUUAGUUAUGAAUAAUGACUAGUAAUUUAGAUUAAGAAUUGUUUUAUUGUUGAGUAUGUUCAUUACUUUUUUAGUGAUUAAGAUAGUGAACAUAGAUAGUCAUUUAAUGUGGCAAUUGAAAGCUAGCUAAGAGAUACCUUUUAGGGUUCAUAGUGUGUGAAUUGACCUAUUGUUUAUGCUAAUGUGAUCCUAGGUUCUAAUGAAGUCCCAUCCUUCCAAUUGGAUCAUUAGGGGAAUUAGAGUUAACUAAAGGCUCAACAAUAAAUCGGUGAAUGGACUGCCUUCAAAACUUGUUUUGGGAAUAUAAUGUAUUUGCCAAACAUUUGAAUGAAUUAUCAAGCUUUUCAUGAAAACAAGUGCCUUGGGAACAAGCUUUUGAUAGAUUGACUCCAUGUUGUGACAUGUGACUAUUAUUGAUUCAUGCACUACCACAUUGUGUUGAUAUAUAUAUGUAUGUGAAUAAAUUGUUGUUUAAUGACAUUGACUCGGCUAUGUGCGAGUAGGGAGUGCGCAUAAGCCAAGGAUGACCCGGUUAUGUGUGAGUAGGGAGUGCGCAUAACCCGGUGAUGACCCAGCCAUGUGCGAGUAGGGAGUGUUCAUGAGCUGGUGAUGAUGAUGAUGGGAUGGCGUGCAUGAUGAUGAUGGGUAUACGUAUACAUAUAUACAUAUGUAAAUAUGUGUGAUAUAGGAAAUUAAUGAGUAAUGGUAUAUGGUUGUAAUGCAUGUGAAACUUGACAUGUUAAACUGUGGAAAAUUGUUAUGCGUUUCAUGUUGGUUUGGACAUUCAGCAGGGUGGUUUUCCUUUGGGAAGAAGGGCAUAUUUUUCAUUGGUGCCAUGUUUCUCGUUGCAACGAGAAUCAUUUUUGCUGCAACGAGAAACUCUCGGGUUUGGAGGGGUAGACUGGUCGAAAACUCGCUGCAGCGAGUAUGCAUUUUCGCUGCAGCGAGAAUGACACUGUAGCUUUUCAUUGCAGCGAAAUUCAUUCUCGCUGUAGCGAGAAACUUUCUAUUUUCUAGGUUGCAAUUUUGCUGCAGCGAGAAAUUUUCUGUUUUUGGGUUACAAUUUCGCUGCAGCGAGAUUCAAUCUCACUACAGCAAAAAACUUUCUGUUUUGUCUCUUAUCUUGUCCAAUUGCUGCCCUAUUUUUCACUUAUUUGCUACCAUAUCUGAGCAUGGACUUUCAACAUUAAGGACUACAUGAGUUAAGUUUAAAAUGAGGAGGUUUAGUGAGAAACCCUCGGCCAGUUGAGAAACCCUCUUUUGGCUAAUAACUAAAUCCCAACGUCGCUGCAGCGAGAAUGCCUUUUCGCUGCAGCGAAGAUUCGUUGUUGUAUUUGACUUGCUUUCGUAUCAUUGAGGCUUUCAUUCUACAAAUGGUUCGUUAUGUAUGAGUUCAUGAUUUCCAAAUGAUUAAUCAUUUAAGGGCUUGAUGAAAGGUUUUUAAUAUGAAUGGAACUAAAUUGCAUUGUUUUAAAACAAGUGCAUCAUUAUUUUAAAUUCUCCUUAAUUGUUGCUUGUUCUUUUCCUUGUUCACUCACUAGGUUUAUACUCACCAUUUUCAAAUUCAUGUUUUCAGAUCACAAGGCAGUCGGUAACUAGGACGCGGUGUCCUUGUAGACUUGUGUCCAUAUUUUGGUAGAUGUCUCGGCAUUCAGUAGCUGUACAUUCGUUCGAGUCCCUCCGCUGGAAGUCGAGUAUUAUUUUGUGGUAUAUAGACGAACCUAAUGUAAAUUGUUAAGAUGUAUGUUGUAG